Molecule: ribosomal RNA, 1422 nt
Filed under: human gut metagenome
Description: bacterial LSU rRNA
Rfam family: Bacterial large subunit ribosomal RNA
Source: RNAcentral
UGCACAGACAACCAGGAUGUUGGCUUAGAAGCAGCCACUCAUUUAAAGAGUGCGUAAUAGCUCACUGGUCGAGUGAUUCUGCGCCGAAAAUUUCCGGGGCUAAAACUUACUACCGAAGCUACGGCAUCAUUAUGAUGGGUAGGGGAGCUUUCUAUGCGGCUUGAAGCAUGACCGUAAGGACAUGUGGACUGCAUAGAAGUGAGAAUGUUGGCAUGAGUAGCGAGAUGUGGGUGAGAAUCCCACAGGCCGUAAACCCAAGGUUUCCAGGGGAAGGUUCGUCCGCCCUGGGUUAGUCAGGACCUAAGCCGAGGCCGAAAGGCGUAGGUGAUGGACAACAGGUUGAUAUUCCUGUACCACCAAUAACCGUUUGAGAAAUGGGAUGACACAGUAGGAUAAGCUAACCGCACUGUUGGUUAUGUGCGGGCAAGUAUUGAGGCAGUUCCGAUAGGCAAAUCCGUCGGAAUAAUGCUGGGGUACGAUGCGGAGCGAAAUUUAGUAGCGAAGUAGCUGAUUUCACACUGUCGAGAAAAGUCUCUAUCGAGGUUAAAGGUGCCUGUACCGCAAACCGACACAGGUGGGUGAGGAGAGUAUCCUAAGGCCAGCGAGAGAACUGUUGUUAAGGAACUCGGCAAAAUGACCCCGUAACUUAGGGAGAAGGGGUGCCUUCGAAAGAAGGCCGCAGAGAAUAGGCCCAAGCGACUGUUUACCAAAAACAUAGGUUUCUGCUAAGUCGCAAGACGAUGUAUAGGAGCUGACGCCUGCCCGGUGCUGGAAGGUUAAGGGGAUCUGUUAGAGCAAUCGAAGCAGUGAACUUAAGCCCCAGUAAACGGCGGCCGUAACUAUAACGGUCCUAAGGUAGCGAAAUUCCUUGUCGGGUAAGUUCCGACCCGCACGAAAGGCGUAACGAUUUGGGCACUGUCUCAACAACAGACUCGGUGAAAUUGUAAUACCGGUGAAGAUGCCGGUUACCUGCGACAGGACGGAAAGACCCCAUGGAGCUUUACUGUAGCUUGACAUUGAGUCUCGGUGCUACAUGUACAGGAUAGGUGGGAGACUAUGAAGCAUGGACGUCAGUCUGUGUGGAGUCAUCCUUGGGAUACCACCCUUGUAGUACUGGGAUUCUAACCAGAGGCCAUGAAUCUGGUCUUGGGACACUGUCAGGUGGACAGUUUGACUGGGGCGGUCGCCUCCCAAAAAGUAACGGAGGCGCUCAAAGGUUCUCUCAGUACGGUCGGAAAUCGUACGAAGAGUGUAAAGGCAAAAGAGAGCUUGAUUGCAAGACAUACAGGUCGAGCAAGGACGAAAGUCGGACUUAGUGAUCCGGUGGUUCCGCAUGGAAGGGCCAUCGCUCAACGGAUAAAAGCUACCCUGGGGAUAACAGGCUGAUCUCCCCCAAGAGUCCACAUCGACGGGGAGGUUUGG